GUUUCUCAAAUCAUAUCAAAAAAAUAUAUUAUAAUUUAUCAAUAAAUAUAGAAAAGAUGAAAUAUUACUUACCUCGAACGUAUUCCAAUAAAUCCACAUAAUUCUAUAAAUUUUCUUUCAAAAAUUUUGUUCGUAGAUCAUAUUGCGAUAUCCCAUAUUCAAAUAUCCACAAUCCUAUACAGAAUUAAUUUCAAUAAUUAGAAA
RNAcentral lists this long non-coding RNA (204 nucleotides) under Elaeis guineensis (African oil palm). RNAcentral describes it as "long non-coding RNA (EGUI_LNC023600)". Lineage: Eukaryota; Viridiplantae; Streptophyta; Magnoliopsida; Arecales; Arecaceae. The record is from RNAcentral.